Molecule: non-coding RNA, 26 nt
Filed under: Homo sapiens (human)
Lineage: Eukaryota; Metazoa; Chordata; Mammalia; Primates; Hominidae
Source: RNAcentral
UGGCAAAGACUCCUGGGAAUAAAAUC